Molecule: ribosomal RNA, 271 nt
Filed under: uncultured bacterium
Lineage: Bacteria
Description: partial 16S ribosomal RNA
Rfam family: Bacterial small subunit ribosomal RNA
Source: RNAcentral
UCGGUCCUACGGGGGGCAGCAGUGGGGGAUAUUGCGCAAUGGGGGGAACCCUGAUGCAGCGACGCCGCGUGGGUGAAGGAGCGUUUCGGCGCGUAAAGCCCUAUCGGCAGGGGAGAAGGAGGACGGUACCUGACUAAGAAGCCCCGGCUAACUACGUGCCAGCAGCCGCGGUAAUACGUAGGGGGCAAGCGUUAUCCGGAUUUACUGGGUGUAAAGGGGGGGCAGACGGCAGCGCAAGCCAGGAGUGAAAGCCCGGGGCCCAACCCCGGGA